CAGUAGCCGCGGUAAUACGAAGGGUGCAAGCGUUAAUCGGAAUUACUGGGCGUAAAGCGUGCGUAGGCGGUGAGUUAAGUCUGCUGUGAAAUCCCCGGGCUCAACCUGGGAAUGGCAGUGGAUACUGGCUCGCUAGAGUGUGUCAGAGGAUGGUGGAAUUCCCGGUGUAGCGGUGAAAUGCGUAGAGAUCGGGAGGAACAUCAGUGGCGAAGGCGGCCAUCUGGGACAACACUGACGCUGAGGCACGAAAGCGUGGGGAGCAAACAGGAUUAGAUACCCCUGAGUCCCUGUCUCUUAUACC
RNAcentral lists this ribosomal RNA (301 nucleotides) under uncultured bacterium. Its description in RNAcentral is "partial 16S ribosomal RNA". It matches the Rfam family "Bacterial small subunit ribosomal RNA", at positions 509 to 808 of the family's 1533-position model. The record is from RNAcentral.